RNAcentral lists this ribosomal RNA (253 nucleotides) under uncultured bacterium. RNAcentral describes it as "partial 16S ribosomal RNA". It matches the Rfam family "Bacterial small subunit ribosomal RNA", at positions 524 to 775 of the family's 1533-position model. The record is from RNAcentral.
UACGGAGGGUGCAAGCGUUAUCCGGAUUCACUGGGUUUAAAGGGUGCGUAGGUGGGUUGGUAAGUCAGUGGUGAAAUCUCCGAGCUUAACUUGGAAACUGCCAUUGAUACUAUUAGUCUUGAAUAUUGUGGAGGUCAGCGGAAUAUGUCAUGUAGCGGUGAAAUGCUUAGAGAUGACAUAGAACACCAAUUGCGAAGGCAGCUGGCUACACAUAUAUUGACACUGAGGCACGAAAGCGUGGGGGAUCAAACAG